Molecule: long non-coding RNA, 858 nt
Organism: Prionailurus viverrinus (fishing cat)
Lineage: Eukaryota; Metazoa; Chordata; Mammalia; Carnivora; Felidae
Exons: 4
Source: RefSeq, a predicted model, not a curated record
CAGUAGACCACUAGCAAGGAGAUCCCAGUCCUGCCUUAAACGGCCUCCAGCCAGGAUUUAAUGAGGCAUGAAUUUGCAUGGCAUAGUAGAUUUUUUCUACCAUAAACUCCUCAACUAAGAAGACUGUGUCUGCCACCACCUUCUAGCACCCCACAGGAGCCAAAGUCCUGUGGUGCAUACAAUUGGUACCCAACACAUUUUGGAGAAAAGAACUAAGAAGCAAAGCAUCUUUAUUGUUUCGUAUCAGAACAAGAUCGGGGAUUGGUGUUACAUAUUAGGAACUGACCCUGAACAUGAUGUUCAAAGUCAUUAAACGCUCUUGGAAACAGAAGCAAUGACUUUAUCUUCGGGGCUGAACAUCCUCAGUUGGAAUCCCUUGAAACUCUGGGCCAGUGAUGUUGGCUUAAUGCCAGAAAGACCAGGCACUAACAUAUUUUGAAUAUGAUGUCACAGACAAAGUACAGGAAAUGAUUAUCACUGGGCAGAUAAAAGGAAAAUAUCUUAAAAGAGAAUAUAAACUUCUUAACCUACUCUAGAGGCAUCACGGUGAAAAUUUCUGUGCACCAGAGAAAAAAAACUCGGUAAUGUGUGUAAGGAGUGCUUUGCAUAUGUGUGAGGUUAGAGAAAAAGCCACACCUGGAUUGCAAAUGUAUUGGCUCCAUCUAUGAGUGUUCUUCUACCAAUCCUGAAACAAGAAAAUUAUUAUUUUUGUGUUUCCAGCGUGAUAGUGUCAGUUAACAUGUAUUCAGAUGUUGCUAUAUGCCAAUGCCACAUGCAUCAGCCCAUUUAAUCCUCUCUGUUACCUUAUGAAGCAGAGGAAGCUCAAAGAGCUUAAGCAAAGAGUUGGUUAAAUCCCUC